CUCUGGCUCAGCAGGGAUGCGGUCUCCUCUCUCCCUCCCUCCUUCCCUCGUGGCCGCGGGGCUGGGCUCCGGGAGGGAGGGGCGCUGAGCGCACCCCAAUUUACAUCCUAGCAAAUGGGAUUAGCAGGAAGGGCUGGAGGUGCUUCCUGGGGGGGAAAAAAAUAAAAAUGGGAGAGCCCUGAUUUUUCACGCUGCAAAGUGAAAGCACCUGCAGCCUGUGGAAACUCAUUCAUUCAAUGGCAGGAAGAGGGGGGGCUGAGCUAAUGAGCAUCACUCGUCCUUCACCGCCUCCUGCUCACUCCCAGAGCCAAAGCAGGGCUGACAUCAGGUGGAAACACCCUGCGCUGGGUCCUAUCUAGUGCCUGUGCCCGACCUUGAAUCUUUAACUUGGACGGGAAAGAAAGCGCUUUGUGCAAGAGCCAUGACUCCACGCAAUGCACAUCACGAGCUCUGCAGCCACCUUGGAGAGCCCAAAGGAUGGCACCAGACUUUGUACAUCAGACUUUGCACAUCAGACACUGCAGUGGAAGGCCACAAACCAUGUGGCAGAGGAGUGGGGUCCCACCUGGAAAUGGUCGUGUAAUUUGGUGCCCUGACUCUGCCCCAUAUCCUCAGAUAAACAUGGGAGAAGUGCAAGUGAAGGAGGUGUGGGCAGCAGAGCAGAGAAGCAGCAGAAGUCAGGAGAGCAUCAUCCCGAAGAUGAAAGCUGACAGCCUCAGUAAGACAACCCAGCCACGAGCAGCCUCAUUUUCCAUCUCGCAGAGGGGAAGCCAAAGCAAAGCGAAAUGGCUGGUCCCAACCAAAAAUAGGACCUGGAGCACCCGACAGCGACGCCUCUGCUUCAACUGUUCGCUCGCUCCGCUUCCCUGUUGCCUAGGGAGACAGCGUGUCACCAGGAGAAAGGAGCUGCAAGAGAAGGUGCCUCUUGAGUCCUGCUCUGGACUCCAACAGGAGAAGGAGCUUCACCUGGCUUCAACCCUGGCUCACCAGCUCUGCCAGCUCACAUCCUCUGGUCUGAGGGUUUCCCCUUAUCACGAUACUAGUGGUGAUGGUGAUCACCCUUUGCUAGCUCCAGAGAGACCAACAAGAAGUGCUGCCCACAGCCCGGAAUUUUGUAAGGAGGGGGAGUGUAAAUUUAAAGCAGUUUUGAAAAAAAAAAAAAAAAAAUCCUCUUUCAUGUUUACA
This is a non-coding RNA of Anas platyrhynchos (mallard), 1185 nucleotides long. Lineage: Eukaryota; Metazoa; Chordata; Aves; Anseriformes; Anatidae. The record is from RefSeq and is a predicted model, not a curated record.